GACGAACGCUGGCGGCGUGCCUAAUACAUGCAAGUAGAACGCACAGUUUAUACCUUAGCUUGCUACACCAUAAACUGUGAGUUGCGAACGGGUGAGUAACGCGUAGGUAACCUGCCUGGUAGCGGGGGAUAACUAUUGGAAACGAUAGCUAAUACCGCAUAAUAUUGAUUAUUGCAUGAUAAUUGAUUGAAAGAUGCUAUUUCAUCACUACCAGCUGGACCUGCGUUGUAUUAGCUAGUAGGUGAGGUAACGGCUCACCUAGGCGACGAUACAUAGCCGAACUGAGAGGGUGAUCGGCCACACUGGGACUGAGACACGGGCCAGACUCCUACGGGAGGCAGCAGUAGGGAAACUUCGGCAAAGGACGAAAGUCUGAACGAGCAACGCCGCGUGAGUGAAGAAGGGUUUCGGAUCGUAAAGAUCUGUUGUAAGAGAAGAACGGGUGUGAGAGUGGAAAGUUCACACUGUGACGGUAUCUAACCAGAAAGGGACGGCUAACUACGUG
This 505-nucleotide ribosomal RNA is filed under the name uncultured bacterium. RNAcentral's name for it is "partial 16S ribosomal RNA". It matches the Rfam family "Bacterial small subunit ribosomal RNA", at positions 28 to 507 of the family's 1533-position model. The record is from RNAcentral.